Molecule: ribosomal RNA, 497 nt
Filed under: uncultured bacterium
Lineage: Bacteria
Description: partial 16S ribosomal RNA
Rfam family: Bacterial small subunit ribosomal RNA
Source: RNAcentral
GAUGAACGCUGGCGGCGUGCCUAAUACAUGCAAGUCGAGCGAACAGACGAGGAGCUUGCUCCUCUGACGUUAGCGGCGGACGGGUGAGUAACACGUGAAUAACCUACCUAUAAGACUGGGAUAACUUCGGGAAACCGGAGCUAAUACCGGAUAAUAUAUUGAACCGCAUGGUUCAAUAGUGAAAGACGGUUUUGCUGUCACUUAUAGAUGGAUCCGCGCCGCAUUAGCUAGUUGGUAAGGUAACGGCUUACCAAGGCAACGAUGCGUAGCCGACCUGAGAGGGUGAUCGGCCACACUGGAACUGAGACACGGUCCAGACUCCUACGGGAGGCAGCAGUAGGGAAUCUUCCGCAAUGGGCGAAAGCUUGACGGAGCAACGCCGCGUGAGUGAUGAAGGUCUUCGGAUCGUAAAACUCUGUUAUUAGGGAAGAACAAAUGUGUAAGUAACUAUGCACGUCUUGACGGUACCUAAUCAGAAAGCCACGGCUAACUACGUG